CCAAGGCGACGAUCGGUACUGGUNUGAGAGGAUGAUCAGCCACACUGGGACUGAGACACGGCCCCAGACUCCUACGGGAGGCAGCAGUGGGGAAUUUUCCCGCAAUGGGCGAAAGCCUGACGGAGCAAUACCGCGUGAGGGAGGAAGGCUCUUGGGUUGUAAACCUCUUUUCUCAGGGAAGAAAACUGNCGGUACCUGAGGAAUAAGCCUCGGCUAACUCCGUGCCAGCAGCCGCGGUAAUACGGAGGAGGCAAGCGUUAUCCGGAAUUAUUGGGCGUAAAGCGUCCGCAGGUGGCUACUCAAGUCUGCUGUCAAAGACCGGGGCUCAACCCCGGAAAGGCAGUGGAAACUGGGAGGCUAGAGUGCGGUAGGGGUAGAGGGAAUUCCCGGUGUAGCGGUGAAAUGCGUAGAGAUCGGGAAGAACAUCGGUGGCGAAAGCGCUCUACUGGGCCGCAACUGACACUCAGGGACGAAAGCUAGGGGAGCGAAAGGGAUUAGAUACCCCUGUAGUCUUAGCUUU
RNAcentral lists this ribosomal RNA (520 nucleotides) under uncultured Prochloron sp. RNAcentral describes it as "bacterial SSU rRNA". It matches the Rfam family "Bacterial small subunit ribosomal RNA", at positions 268 to 803 of the family's 1533-position model. The record is from RNAcentral. Lineage: Bacteria; Bacillati; Cyanobacteriota; Cyanophyceae; Chroococcales; Prochloraceae.